This 191-nucleotide unclassified non-coding RNA is filed under the name uncultured Basidiomycota. Its description in RNAcentral is "sequence contains ITS2". The record is from RNAcentral. Lineage: Eukaryota; Fungi; Basidiomycota.
UAACCCUCACACUUGCGAUGUCAAAGUCGCAAGAGGUGGACUUGGACCGUGCCGUAAUAGGCUCGUCCUGAAAUGCAUUAGCUUGCGCCUUUUAGAGUGCUCGGCAUGGUGUGAUAAUUAUCUGCGCCGUCGCCUUAGGCCUCUUCUGUGGAGCGCUGCUUACAGCCGUCCCUCGAGGACAACACAUAAAG